CCUACGGGAGGCAGCAGUGGGGAAUAUUGGACAAUGGGGGAAACCCUGAUCCAGCGACGCCGCGUGAGUGAAGAAGUAUUUCGGUUUGUAAAGCUCUUUCAGCAGGAAAGAAAAUGACGGUACCUGACUAAGAAUCCCCGGCUAACUACGAGCUAGCAGCCGCGGUAAUACGUAGGGGGCAAGCGUUAUCCGGAUGUACUGGGUGUAAAGGGAGCGUAGACGGGGCGCCAAGUCAGAAGGGAAAUGCCGCGGCUUAACUGCGAAACUGCAUUUGAAACUGGCGAACUUGAGUGCGGGAGGGGUAAGCGGAAUUCCGUGUGUAGCGGUGAAAUGCGUAGAUAUAAGGAGGAACACCAGUGGCGAAGGCGGAUUGCUGGACCGUAACUGACGCUGAGGCUCGAAAGCGUGGGGAGCAAACAGGAUUAGAUACCCGUGUAGUC
Molecule: ribosomal RNA, 440 nt
Filed under: uncultured bacterium
Lineage: Bacteria
Description: partial 16S ribosomal RNA
Rfam family: Bacterial small subunit ribosomal RNA
Source: RNAcentral